Molecule: ribosomal RNA, 253 nt
Filed under: uncultured bacterium
Lineage: Bacteria
Description: partial 16S ribosomal RNA
Rfam family: Bacterial small subunit ribosomal RNA
Source: RNAcentral
UACGUAGGGUGCAAGCGUUGUCCGGAAUUAUUGGGCGUAAAGAGCUCGUAGGCGGUUUGUCGCGUCUGCUGUGAAAACUCGAGGCUCAACCUCGAGACGCCGGUGGAAACCAUCAGGCUAGAGUCCGGAAGAGGAGAGUGGAAUUCCUGGUGUAGCGGUGAAAUGCGCAGAUAUCAGGAAGAACACCCGUGGCUAAGGCGGCUCUCUAGUACGGUACUGACGCUGAGACGCGAAAGCGUGGGGAGCGAACAGG